AGGUUGGGUAACACUAACUGGAGGACCGAACGACUAAUGUUGAAAAAUUAGCGGAUGACUUGUGGCUGGGGGUGAAAGGCCAAUCAAACCGGGAGAUAGCUGGUUCUCCCCGAAAGCUAUUUAGGUAGCGCCUCGUGAACUCAUCUUCGGGGGUAGAGCACUGUUUCGGCUAGGGGGGUCAUCCCGACUUACCAACCCGAUGCAAACUACGAAUACCGAAGAAUGUUAUCACGGGAGACACACGGCGGGUGCUAACGUCCGUCGUGAAGAGGGAAACAACCCAGACCGCCAGCUAAGGUCCCAAAGUCAUGGUUAAGUGGGAAACGAUGUGGGAAGGCACAGACAGCCAGGAUGUUGGCUUAGAAGCAGCCAUCAUUUAAAGAAAGCGUAAUAGCUCACUGGUCGAGUCGGCCUGCGCGGAAGAUGUAACGGGGCUAAACCAUGCACCGAAGCUGCGGCAGCGACACUAUGUGUUGUUGGGUAGGG
RNAcentral lists this ribosomal RNA (486 nucleotides) under Klebsiella pneumoniae. RNAcentral's name for it is "bacterial LSU rRNA". It matches the Rfam family "Bacterial large subunit ribosomal RNA", at positions 749 to 1233 of the family's 2925-position model. The record is from RNAcentral. Lineage: Bacteria; Pseudomonadati; Pseudomonadota; Gammaproteobacteria; Enterobacterales; Enterobacteriaceae.